This is a non-coding RNA of Paramuricea clavata, 890 nucleotides long. The record is from the annotation of a GenBank genome assembly. NCBI's taxonomy places the organism in Eukaryota, Metazoa, Cnidaria, Anthozoa, Malacalcyonacea, Plexauridae.
GUAAAACAGUUUUUACAACUGAUUUAUUUUAACUAACUGAUUUAUUUUUCUGCGUGAUCGCGUUUUUAUUCGCUAGCAUAAAUUUAAAGCUCGUGUAAUUCCCGAAGUCAACGACUCUAACAUCCCAAUCAGGAAUCUUCGUUAAAAACGUCGGAGUUCUCCUUGCAUAUUUCAGGUAGUUGUAUCCCAAUUAAUCCCAGCUGUUUAUUGGUCCUCGCCACCUACAUGUACAUCCGCUAUGCAAGCCCGUUUGCGAUUUUAUACCAAGAACACGCUAUUGAAAAUCUUUACUGAGGUUUUGAAAUAUUACUAGUGAAUUUCCCUUUCAAACAGGCGAAACUUAAAUAUUAUUCCUAUUUCCAAUUAUCAGUAUAUAAACAAACCAUGAAAAUACGGCACUCUUAAUAACUAUAGGCUACAAUCACUUUCAGAAGUUGUUGGGACAAUUGUAGUUUUAGCUUGUAAGUAGAUUAUUACAGCUUUUCGCACACAAUACCGCUCCCCUCCCCCUCCCGCCACCCCAAUCAAUGUUGCUCCAACCAAAACACAUCAAACCUGACGAGAAAUGGGACACAACAUUGAACAGGGGGUAGGGGCAUUGACGUUUGUUGAAAUUCAAAGGUGUUGUGGUAUCUCUCCCAAGACUUUUGGAAUUGAUUGUACAUAUAUGUAAACUCAGUUUAGUUCAAGAAAUUAGUCCUAGGCGCAGAUGGCGGCAAUUUGCCGCGUCUGUGUAGAAGUGCACAAAAACACACUCAUUACUAACGAGGUACAGGAUCGUUACAAAACAAAUAGAAUACAGCCCCAAAAAUUUCCUGAUUUGCCAAGAUUGAGUUGAGAAAAUGUUCUAAGACAAGCACAUUAUUUCAUUUUGGUCUUAAGUUGUCGCG